RNAcentral lists this ribosomal RNA (1750 nucleotides) under Hofstenia sp. AW-2007b. RNAcentral's name for it is "SSU rRNA". It matches the Rfam family "Eukaryotic small subunit ribosomal RNA". Lineage: Eukaryota; Metazoa; Xenacoelomorpha; Acoela; Hofsteniidae. The record is from RNAcentral.
UUAAGCCAUGCAUGUCUAAGUUUAACGAAUAAAUAAUUCGAGAGACCGCGAAUGGCUCAUUAAAUCAGUCAUGAUUUAUGUGAUAUCUGAAUUUACUUGGAUAACUGUGGUAAAUCUAGAGCUAAUACAUGCCUGAUCAAUCCCGAGUGAUUGGCUUUUAUUAGUUAAACCUCAAUGUGUCGCCUGUCCUUUGACAGAGACUUUAGGUGAUAUCUGGAUAACUGCAAGACCGUAAUACCUUGUGUUAGCGGCGAUUCAUUCAAGUGUCUGCCCUAUCAGCUUUGGAUGGUAGUGUACCGGACUACCAUGGCUUUUACGGGUGACGGGGAAUCAGGGUUCGAUUCCGGAGAGGGAGCCUGAGAAACGGCUACCACCUCUAUGGAAGGCAGCAGGCGCGCAAAUUACCCACUCUCAGUACGAGGAGGUAGUGACGAAAAAUAAUAGUACAGAGCCCUAUGGGUUUUGUCACUGGAAUGAGCACAAUUUAAAUCCUUUAGCGAGGAUCUAGUAUAGGGCAAGUCUGGUGCCAGCAGCCGCGGUAAUUCCAGCUAUACAAGCGUAUGUGCAUGCUGCUGCGGUUAAAAAGCUCGUAGUUGAAUUUGCUAAGUGAUCUUGUACACUAUCACUUAGACCAAUGGGUCUAGAUAAGUGCCUGGUUGCCUCUCUCUCCUUUUUGUCAGGUGUGCACUUAACUGGCGUAGAUCUGUCUGAAAUCGAGUUUUUACUUUGAAAAAAUUAGAGUGUUCAAAGCAGGGAUAACUAUGAAUAACUCAGCAUGGGAUAAUCAAAGAGGACUGCACUCGUGUGCUCUUUGAGGUCUUAAUACGUUUUGCAGUAAUGGUUAAAAGGGACAGUUGGGGGCAUUCGUAUUGUCAUGUUAGAGGUGAAAUUCUUGGAUCAUGGCAAGACGGACUACUGCGAAAGCAUUUGCCAAGAAUGUUUUCAUUAAUCAAGAACGAAAGUUAGAGGAUUGAAGAGGAUCAGAUACCCUCGUAGUUCUAACCAUAAACGUUGCCAACUAGUGAUCUGUUGAUAGUCUUUUAUGACGCGUCAGGAAACUUCCGGGAAACCAAAGUGUUUGGGUUCUGGGGGUAGUAUGGUUGCAAAGCUGAAACUUAAAGGAAUUGACGGAAGGGCACCACCAGGAGUGGAGCCUGCGGCUUAAUUUGACUCAACACGGGGAAACUCACCAGGUCCAGACAUAGUGAGGAUUGACAGACUGAAGUUUUUUCUUGAUCCUAUGGUUGGUGGUGCAUGGCCGUUCUUAGUUGGUGGAGCGAUUUGUCUGGUUAAUUCCGAUAACGAACGAGACUCUAUCUAGCUAAAUAGAGAAGUUCACUAUGGUGAACUUGAUGCUUCUUAGAAGGACUGGGUGUCUGAAAGCAUCAGGAAGUAGGGUCAUAACAGGUCUGUGAUGCCCUUAGAUGUUCUGGGCUGCACGCGCGCUACAAUGGUGCUUGCAAAUUGUGCGAUCACCUUGAGUGUUAUGCUCUGGGUAAUCAUUAAUGUGUAUCAUGUUUGGGCUUGUAUAUUGUAAUUAUAUACACAAACGAGGAAUUCCUAGUAAGUGCAAGUCAUCAGCUUGUGUUGAUUACGUCCCUGCCCUUUGUACACACCGCCCGUCGCUACAACCGAUUGGGUGUUGAAGUGAGCAUUGCUGAUAACAUGUAGUUCAGCACUUUUGGGCCCAAUUAUGUAGAAGAAGCAUUGCAAGCUUUGAUACUUAGAGGAAGUAAAAGUCGUAACAAGG